CCCUACGGGGUGCAAGCCGAUUGGAAGCAUUUCUCGCUUUCAUUCGAUCAAUUUCCGCAGAUUACCGAUUGGUCGAAUGUCGCCGAAGUUUCGUUCAUCAUCGAAUCAUGGAAUGCCGAAAAGAAAAACGGCGUUAUUCUCAUAGAUGAUAUUUGUUUUUCUACCUAGUUUACAUAGGAGGAGUGGUCAAUGAAAAUUAUUUCGAUUGCCAAUCAAAAGGGGGGGUGUGGGAAAACCACAACCGCUAUCAAUUUGGCGGCAAGCCUUGGCCUCAAUGGCAAGAAAACUUUAUUGAUCGACCUGGACCCUUAGGCCCAUGCGUCUUUGGGAUUAAAUUUUGAAAACCAGGACAGCCUUUAUAACGUGAUUUCCAAGCUCACUCCUCGCAAAUUGACGAUCAAGGAUAUUAUUAAAUCGGUUGAACGCACUUUUGAUUUGGUGCCUUCCAGCAUUUUGGUGGGAACGUUGGAACAGGAAUUGGCGGGGGGGC
Molecule: ribosomal RNA, 490 nt
Filed under: uncultured prokaryote
Description: partial 16S ribosomal RNA
Source: RNAcentral